GUGCCGCCGAGAUAAAAGAUGACAUUGGCGAGCAUAAUCGUUGGGUCCCACCUGUUAUUAGCGCUGGCAUGUUCAUAGAGCUUGAUCCAGUCGUCGACAUCCUGUCCCUCCAGGCCAGAGAACACACCUGGAUCACGAUGUGGGGCAACCGUGAUGAUUGGAGCAGUUGGACAAGCUGUUGCAGAGGCUGGCUCGUCACCGGGAGGCAUGGUGACUAGCUCGGUGUGCCGACCACUUCGGAGUUCCGUGCUGAAGGCCCGACAACGCAAGAGAGAGAGGGAGCUGGCGAAUGGACGAGGGGUGCCCCGCUGGGCUAGUGUCCCGGCCGGCGCCUUGCCCUGCAACCUGAUCCGUGCCACCGGGUUUUCGGCAGACCGCCUGAUCAGUGUGAAUCGCCAGCACCUCCGAGAGGGACGAAGGCGUCAGUGCGGCCAGUGGAGAACUUGGGUUUUAGGUUUCUUCUCUCUUCCUUUUCUCUUCCUUUCGAUCUGUCCUUUGUAACAUAAACCUGUCUCGAAACGGC
Dermacentor andersoni is the source of this 523-nucleotide long non-coding RNA. RefSeq lists it as uncharacterized. NCBI's taxonomy places the organism in Eukaryota, Metazoa, Arthropoda, Arachnida, Ixodida, Ixodidae. The record is from RefSeq and is a predicted model, not a curated record.